RNAcentral lists this long non-coding RNA (527 nucleotides) under Struthio camelus australis. Its description in RNAcentral is "lncRNA (ENSSCUG00000018977.1)". The record is from RNAcentral. Lineage: Eukaryota; Metazoa; Chordata; Aves; Struthioniformes; Struthionidae.
GCACAGCAACCAUAAUUUUAUGAUAUCUGAUAUGGCACUGAAGACUUUCCUUCAGCAAUUACCAGUUUGAGGCAAUGCAAACUCCUAUCAUGUAAGACGUUCGCUUGCACGCUUUCCAUCACUGGUCAUUUCAAGAUGCACCUUCUUUCACUGUCCCAAGAGCUCAGAUUUCAUUCCUGAUGGCUGGAAACUUAGAUAUCGGCUGUCCCUCAAAGGCAUUGGUUACAACUUGUUUGUAAGCAGACAGCUGUCAAUUGCACGAGAGCUUUCUGUGAAAGAGACAAUAUCUUUCUGAACACCUGAACUCCAUCAGGAAUCAAACAGAAGGCCAAGAAAGGCCCGGAGUCAAAGGGCUUCUGGUGCUGAAUUCACAGCUUCGCCCCAGACUCUGCUCUGACUUGCUGCAAUUGCCAGGAAGUCGGGAGGGGAGUGUGUCCCAGAGAGUGCAGGAAGGCAGAGCUUCUGCUGCCUUGUGUCACCAUGCUCACAGUAAAAGAGAAAAGAGGAGGCCAGCUUUACUCUGCUAG